Long non-coding RNA from Oncorhynchus nerka (sockeye salmon), 1337 nucleotides. RefSeq lists it as uncharacterized. The record is from RefSeq and is a predicted model, not a curated record. The transcript is spliced from 3 exons. NCBI's taxonomy places the organism in Eukaryota, Metazoa, Chordata, Actinopteri, Salmoniformes, Salmonidae.
AAGAGGGUAGAGAGGUUAGGGAGGAAGCGAUUAUAAUACUUCAGUAAGCCUAGAUAGGCUUUCAAUUCUGUAAAGUUUGUCGGAGCUGAAGCUUCCACAACAGCCCUCACUUUAGCUUUGACAGUGUGUAACCCCUUGGCAUCCACCUUGUGACCCAGGUACUGCACUUCAUCAGCUAACAGUGUACACUUGUUCCUCUUCAGCCGGAGACCGGCCUCCUCUAUCCUCCUCAAAACUUCACCCAAGUUUCUGAGAUGUCCGUCCUUCGUGACUCCCGUGACAAGAAUGUUGUUGAGGUAAACCGCUACUUGGGUAUCCCCUGCAGAACUCCAUCCAUGGUUCUUUGGAAGAUAGCUGGUGCAGAAGACACCCCGAAGGAUGUUGCUGCGCACAGCACCGGCAACGUUGUCCCUUGGCCUUCUGGGACCAGUGCUGUGGAAAAGGAUGCUAGCAGAGACCGCUCAGGGCUGUGGCCCAUCUUCCCAGUAUCCCCUGUGUAUUUAAAUCUGUGUUCUCUGUUUGUCUGUUGCCAGUUCGUCUUGUAUUGUCAGGUCUUACAUGCGUUCUUUCCCACCAUCCUGUUUCUCUAGUUCUGAUUCCUAGUUUUACCUGGUUCUGACCAUUCUGCCUGCCCUGACCCUGAGCCUGCCUGCCGUCCUGUACCUGCCUGAUUCUGACCUGAUUACGAACCUCUGCCAGCCCUGACCGCGAGCCUGCCUGCCGUCCUGUACCUGCCUGACUCUGACCUGAUUACAAACCUCUGCCUGCCCUCGACCUGCCCUUUGCCUGCCCUGUGUCUCUAAUAAAUAAUAGGAGAACUGUACUAUCCGUCUCCAGUGUCUGCAUCUGUGUCAUAUCCUGAGUCAUGAUCCUGAGACUGUUUUGUUGUACUGUACAUUGUCCCUGUUAAAAUAUACGUAAUAAUAACAAUACGUAAUAAUUUAAAGACUUUGAAGGAUUUUCUCCAUUGAUGGAAAAUGCUGCAGUUUGUGGAAUACCUAGAUACUGGCCAUCUCAUUCAAGGAUUUCUAUGUUAAAUUUGUACAUUUGAAGCAUUUCAUUUCAAAAUGCUAUAUAUCCAUUUUCAGAAUUGUUGGUAAAUUAGCUUUUAUUGUUUAAAGAAAUUAUGAAAGAUAUUGGUUAUUUUUUUCACUAUCCAAUCAUGGCAUUGUUCAAUGACAAAUCUAUCACUUGAUGGGUUAAAUUUCAAAGAGACAAAUAAUCAUGUUUUUUGUGCAAAAUGCUAUACAUCCACCUCACACUCAGUGAAAUAAGUAGUACUGCUAGGUUUUACACAAUCCAAUGUAACAAAUUACUACAUUUUUAAUAAAGAACUG